AUCAUUGGAGUUAUCGGAUGUGCAUGACUGGGCCCGACCAGAGCACACGCUUAAACGGGAACCAAUAAUGUACGACGAAAGUUGAUUCAAGUAAGGUGAUAACGAUGUAACAGUAAGAAAUCCUUAUCCAACAAUUAAUCGCACUCUAAUGUUAUAAGCAAACGGUUUGCUUAUACAUUAUUCGAUGGGGGAUGCUUCUAAAAAUCAAUGAUCUCGUUCAACGAAAGCGAUGAAAUGGAAUGCAAUGCAGAAGAAGUCUCGAAUACGACUCAAUAGUCGAAUUAAUUUCUUAAGUUAAGCAUGAGUUUGGGUACGUCGCAGCGUGGGAUAUACGAAUUAUCACCAUGGUGCUUUCGAUAGUUCCGAGGACUAUGAUUCUGUAUUAAUUUGGCAUGACGAAGGAUCAUGUUCACUCUUAGGGGGCAUGUUGACUCUAUGAGCUUGCAGCGAUUUCUAUGUUACUGUAUCAUUCACGGCAAGGCCUGUAUAAACAAUGAAUCGAAAUGAGUUGCAGACAUGAGGACUCUGUUGGCGAUAGCGCAGUUUAGUAUCAAGAGUCAAGAACCCAAAGAUGAUUUGGUAUUCGUUUUUACUCAUCCAGAAUCCUGAAGCCUUGGGUUCACCGUAUGGGAAAGACGUCGUUCAGCAAUAAAAUAGCCGCGACAUCUUGUACGCUACAAGUUAUUGAUUUGUCGCUUGAGACUCUCUCUCUCUCUCUCUCUCUAUUUGUCAAGUCGAUCGCACAAGUCGAUCUCAAUUUUCUAUAAUUUCCUUGACGGGGUACUGUUAAAAUCAACUAGAAGCACAUUGUUUAAAGUCAUUCCGCCCGAUUAGCGAGUAUAGAAACAGUCAAGCGAG
Long non-coding RNA from Megalopta genalis, 858 nucleotides. RefSeq lists it as uncharacterized. Lineage: Eukaryota; Metazoa; Arthropoda; Insecta; Hymenoptera; Halictidae. The record is from RefSeq and is a predicted model, not a curated record.